AAGUCGUAACAAGGUUUCCGUAGGUGAACCUGCGGAAGGAUCAUUAUCAAAAGUCAAGUCGGGGGCUGUAAAGCUCUCGUCUACACCCAUGUCUUUUGCGUACUCUUGUUUCCUCGGUGGCGCAAGCUGCCGAUUGGACAAACCAAAACCUUUUUUGUGAUUGCAAUCAGCGUCUGAAAAUAAUCUAAUUAUUUACAACUUUCAACAACGGAUCUCUUGGUUCUG
This 225-nucleotide unclassified non-coding RNA is filed under the name fungal sp. RNAcentral's name for it is "partial internal transcribed spacer region". The stretch from base 1 to 46 matches the Rfam family "Eukaryotic small subunit ribosomal RNA", at positions 1786 to 1831 of the family's 1831-position model. The record is from RNAcentral. Lineage: Eukaryota; Fungi.